CGCAAAAGAUACUUUCUCUGUGAUAUUGCUGUGAUUAAAGUGCUCAUUUCAGAAUAAUCUGAAGAAGACACCCAUAAUCAAGGAUACAUUCAGGUUUUUGAAAUAACCAAGAUUCGAAUAAGCCUCCCAAGAUGGAGCCUGCAACUAAAGAAGUGUUUGAGAAGCUGAAGCCAGUGUGCAUCCCUCUGAUAAAAGAACCAACCCCUGAGAAUAUUGCCAGGCUUGAUGCUACAUUGAAGGAUUUAAGUGUUCAGGCCUUACAACAGCUUCAGGAAUAUGUGUUGUUCCCUUUGAGACUUGCUCUGAAGAGUUCAUCAUCUCUCUCUGAUAAGGAAUGCAUCGGAGUGUUAGAUUGUAUGACUGAUAUUCUGAAGAAAACAACCGUCACAAACUGGGAACUAUUUCAAGACUUAUUCAACUGUCUCUGUCUGCUCCUGAGUUCCCCUGGCCAGGACGUGCAAUUAAACCAAGGUUCAGAAGAAUGGAAGAUUGCUAUUGUUGGUUGUCUCAUGGCUUUGAUUUCACAGUCCUCUCUUGGUGUUCUGACCAGUGUGUACCAGGUGGAGUUCCUUCCUGCACUGGGCCAUGCAGUAUCCUCACUACUCACUCUCACCCAGCAUGAGCGAUACCAGAAGCUGAAGGUCUCUGCCAUAGAAUGCCUAUUGGUGCUUGCUCAAGUAGACGGGAAAGGUGAUCAGUAUUUGAUGUGCCGUAUUGGUGACAUAUUUCCCUCGUUCCUUCCCGGGAUUGCGAUUGCUCUGAGUAAAGUCAUCACCGGUGAUGUGAAGCAAGGCCAAGCAGUCACUGUACAUGCGAUUAGAGCGUGGGCAAGUCUUGUCACCUUGGUUGUCGGAGAUGCCACAUUAACAUGGGCUCAAAAUAAACAGAUAAGUGUCAAAGCCAAGAAUGAAAAACAACAGCAGUUGGUCAUUGAGAGGUCACCUGACUGGGCUCAAGCUACAGCUGAUAAACUAGACAUUCUGAUUGGUCGGAUAGUGACCUUGACCUCUCAUGCUAAUUGGAAGGUGAGGCUGGCAAUGGUCAAUUGGGCGGAGCAGCUACUUAAUGAAUGUCAGCGAACUCUGAAGGGAAGUAUCCCCAAGCUGCUGGAGGUGAUUGUUGGCUUGACUACUGAUGAUUACCCCAAUGUGUGCAAGAGAAGUGAGAAAGUGCUGGAGGAAUAUAGGAGUCACCAGACAAGAGUGGGAGUGAAAUCGCUAGUUGAACUGUUGGAGGAGAACUUGUACACACUGGCUACAACACUGCCAAGGUUAAUCAGGACUGCUGAUGAUGAGGAGAAGCUGAAGACAGUUCGGUUGCUCAGUGGAUACUUAAAAAUAUUAGGCCCUAACAUGAGUGACAUGUUCAACUCCUGCUCUCAUAUCCGACGCCUGGGCUGGUCUCUGAUGCAGGUGGUGGAACUCUCCUGUGGUGACCUUAACAUCGUGGAAGAGAGGACGGCGAAUAUGGAUUCAUCAGCAGGCACAAAGGAAUUCUCCAUGCAGAAAAUACUCAAGUCCAGAAAAACGUUCAAGCAUUUUUCUGAUGGGAACAUAUUUACUCAGAUUUGUACAACAUGCCAUUACAUCGGAUAUUAUGGUGAUUUGAGCCUGUUAGUUGACUACUUUACGGAACAGAUUCUGACUUCUCGCCUGUAUCGGAAAGAAGCCAUCCUCAUCCUGAAUGAAAUCAUCCUGGGUUGCUGUGGGGACCAGACUUGCUCAGAUGUUACAGAGGAUCAACGCUGUCUCGUGGAUACAAUAAGUUCUCUGGCUGAGCUGUAUAUGUCCGAUAUGCUGUAUAAUGUUUCCACAGGCAUUACAGCCUGGACUGGAACCCUUAAGCCAAGCAGCACGACAGACCUGACUCAGAUGUUGGCAUGUACAAGUAUAUCUCCAAAGAGCAACCUCUCACCAACUCUACUCACUAUAAACAGCAAUAUACAGCAAAUUUGUCUUCUAGUUGAGGGAAUAGCCAACUUUGCAAUGGUGCUUGGAGGGAGUUUCUCCCCAUUAAUGAUGGUGGUGCUGUACCCACUCCUGGAGAAGCGGGGUGAUGACACACUGGCUAUCAGUCGGACGGCACUCUAUACCAUACAGACAAUCUGUGAUAAAACAGGUUACAGUUGCAUCAGUGACAUGAUCUGCUCUAACAUUGACUAUCUCAUGCACACCAUCUCGCUCAAGAUGCGUCACUUCUCGUCCUCCAUGAGGGCGCCAUUAGUCCUUGGGGUGAUGUUUGAUCUCUCGGGUCAACAGUUGCUGUCAUAUCUCAAAGAUACUAUUCACGAGGUUUUCCUCUGCCUUGAUGAUCACCAUGGAGAGGAUGCAUUCCUGCUUAUGAGAGUCUUGGCUAAACUCAUCUCUGCAAUCAAUCGUUGGUAUGGUAUGAAUCUAACAGAGUUGACUCGUCCAUCCACUGAAACAUCUUCUGCAAUGGAGCUUGAACAGAAAUCAUGUCAAACAUUGCGCGAGUAUUUUUUGGAGUAUGACCGACAUGCAAAAAUAGCAAGAAUGGAAAAUCUGGAUACAGAGGAUACAGAAGACAUUUCAUCUGAACCUGAGGAUGUGAAUGACAUGUCAGAUGUCAAGAAAGUAGUUCCACAACAUGUUGAGUGUGUGAUUGCAACACUGGACAGGUGCUGCCACCUUGUUGCCUCCAGGGAGCCUAGGCUGCGUCUGAUUGUUCUUGACAUCAUCUGCGAUGGCUGUGCCGCUCUUUCCAAUAACAAAGAUGAACUUCUUCCCUCUGUCCACAGGCUGUGGUCUCCAUUGGUCAAUAGGUUUCAAGAUGAUGAGCCAGUGGUUAUAAUCAAGGCAUUCGAAACUCUUUGCAUUAUCAGUGACUUGUGCGGUGAUUUCCUUAAUCGGCGGGUCAUUAAGGAAAUUCUACCAAAAGUUUGUGACUUCCUUAAAACACAAGCUGCCAUUAGUGAAAGAAUCGGACCGACCCAGAAAUUCAGUCUUGGCUAUAAAUCCCAGUUAGCCAUUCUUCAGAGGAUCGGUAAACUUUGCAAAGAGUUAAAUAUCCAAGAAGAGUACUGUGAGAAUGCGAUCACUGGUUGCCUACCAUACCUGUCUGCUAGACAACCCCUCCCACUUCAAGAGGCAUGCUUAGAAACCUUUACGGCUUUAAUACGAGUUGAGCCUGAUAUCGUUUGGCUGCGACUGAUGGAUAUCUGGUGUCCGACCAAGCCAGCCCCUCCACACUACACACUAAACCUCAUCAAGUUUGCCAGUACAUUAGAAACUGGUCGGACAGUCUACUCUGACAAUAUUGAGAGGCUCCUCAACAUUCUACAGGACAGGCAAGUUAACAGCUGAUAGGGGAACGUCACUACAUCUCUUCUUUGCCAUAGCCCGCGACACAAUGAACAAUCCAGAAGAGAUUACCCAAACAUUCAUCAAGCAAGUGAAAUUUUUGGAUAAGCUAAUCUCAACUUUGAAAUUUUUGGAUAAGCUAAUCUCAACUUUUGCCUUUGUGGCAAAAUGUCUGUUGUUCCGUGACUUCCCUGCAGCCAAUACGAACUUUGGUUCAAAGUUAUCAGGUGAUUAUUAUAACCUCUGUUGUGUGGCUUAAUUCACAUCUGGAAACACAAGAACUAGCAAGAACAGGUCACAAGAACGACUGCGUCAUUCAAACUGAGAGGAGAGGGUAUGGGUUCUAAUUUGCUGUGGUGGUGAAUCAUAAAAAAGUAUUUUAGUACCCCACUUUGUGUGUACCCCAAAUUUUAGCUGGAUCAAAGUUCAAAUAUAGCAGUGAUCAUAUCUUUUUAUUAUUAUACGCCCGCUCCGGAGCGUAUUAUGGUAUGGCCCUCGGUGUCCGUCUGCUCGUCGGGCCGUCCGUCCGUCCGUUAACUUUUCAUUGUCCACGCGAUUACUGAAAUUCAACAUGUAUAUUCUACAUCAUGUAUAGUCACCAAACCUGGUUUGCAGGGCACUAGUAUAGGCCCGAAGAAGCCUAUUGAUUUGGAGGUCCAAAGGUCAAAGGUCAAGGUCACGAAGACCUGUUUCCAUUUUCCACUUACCUGCUACUUCACACACUUUUCACCCUGACCAACCACCCUUUACUCUUAUGGCGGGCGUAUAAUGUGCUCUCUCUGUGUAGCUCUUGUUUGUAUUGUCAUGGUAUAGGCAUCUCAAUAUGUUGACAAGAAUUAAGGUUGAAGGUGAUAGAAGGUCGGUGUCUUCAAAUGUUUCGUGAAAAAAAGGAAUUUUCUGAUAAGUCUUGCAAAACGAAAUUUUAUAUGAUUAAUAUUGUCAGUGUGAUUUCUGAUGAUAGCUAUAUAUCACACAGAUAUAUGGUUUGACCGGUUUUUUCAAGGUUUUAGAGGUCAAAGUUCGAAUUUAAAUGUUUGGUCAACUAGACACUGUUUGAAUAUUUUCUUUUCAUGUACGGUCAUUGUAUAGCAUAUCAGUAGGCACUGUUUGCUAUUGAAAAUCAGCCAAUGUGAUUCAUUGUUUCAUCACUAGGGGGAUUACCUGAAAACAGAAAGGUUGCAGUUGCUCACUUUCAAAAGUUAUGUGGCAAGUGUUUUGACGAAGGUUCGGAUACCAAUUAACAACGAGGAUGGUAGAAUUCGAACAAACACAGGACCCACCUGGUUAUGGCUGUUGCUUCUAACUCCAAUGGCAGCACCCUUCACGGUCGUUGAUACCAGUACCAAUCAGCUGUCCACCGUCGGCUGCCUCGUCUUCCGCUGCCCUGGAGACUAUGUCAAUACCCCCUUGGCUUCACACCCUGUUGCUAGCCUGUGGGCGGCGCAAUAUAUCUUGAAGAGAGGUUCUGGGUUCCUCUUAAACCUCGCGCUUGACCAACAAGCGGGCAAAGUUUAUAUUUGAUUAUGGAUAUGUUUAUAGUUUUGUACAAUAAUGCACAUAUACGUUUUGUCGACUAUAGUUUGAUAUAUAAUGUUGAAUUUUAACAAUACAUGGCUGGGCUAUACUGUUCUGACUUAUAAGUCAAAUUUGAAACAAGGAAUCAAAUAAA
Molecule: RNA transcript, 4989 nt
Organism: Lineus longissimus
Lineage: Eukaryota; Metazoa; Nemertea; Pilidiophora; Heteronemertea; Lineidae
Gene name: TELO2-interacting protein 1 homolog
Exons: 25
Source: RefSeq, a predicted model, not a curated record